RNAcentral lists this long non-coding RNA (239 nucleotides) under Solanum tuberosum (potato). RNAcentral describes it as "long non-coding RNA (STUB_LNC003197)". Lineage: Eukaryota; Viridiplantae; Streptophyta; Magnoliopsida; Solanales; Solanaceae. The record is from RNAcentral.
UUCAUUAUAUUUGGGAACAAAACUACAGAGUAAUUGAAAGAGAGAACACAAGAUUCUAAGAAAAUUGGGUGAGUUGAUGUAGACAUUUUUAUGGAUAUUGAUUAUAACUACAGUGUGAUAUUCGAAUUGAGGGACAUGUUCAUAUGGUCUUGAACAACAACCUUAAUAUGAAUGAAGAAGAAAGCAUUUGAGAAAUUUAAAAGAAAAAACAUAUCUUGUAUUACUAUUGAAAAUGAAAA